RNAcentral lists this unclassified non-coding RNA (205 nucleotides) under Hevea brasiliensis (rubber tree). The record is from RNAcentral. Lineage: Eukaryota; Viridiplantae; Streptophyta; Magnoliopsida; Malpighiales; Euphorbiaceae.
AUAGAAUCUGCGAUUGGAUCAAAGUUCAAUGAUAAAAUGCCUUGUAUACUAAAAAAUAGGAUUGGGUCAUAGGACCUUCGGUUGCUUUAUUUGUUGUACACUUCAGCAAAGUCUGGAGCAUGUUGGCAGUGAGACUUGCUAGCAUAGUUCAUUUUAGCCAAUAAUGCUUUUCUUCUUCAAACAUGAAAUACCUCGUUUUCUAGCA